CGCCGGUGAGGAUGGUGAUGUGGCCGCCGACGGCGAGGCCGAAGGUGACGGCGGGGUUCAGGUGGCCGCCGGAGAUGUUGGCGGCCAUGGAGACACCGACGAAGAGCGCGAACGCAUGGGCGAUGGCGAUGGCCACCAGGCCGGCGGGGUCCAGAGCGCCACCCUUUGUCAGUUGCGCUGCACAAGGCGAAUUUGGGGGUUGGCAUCCCUGGUCAGUGCGUGCGGAAAGUGAAGCGAGGUAUGAGAGGACGGAGGUGCUUGUGACAGUAGAGAAGCUCACAGUAGGCAAUGGCGGACCCGACGCCGGCGAACACGAAGAGGAGCGUGGCAAUGAACUCGGCCGCAUAGGCCUUGAGGGACGCGGCGCUGAAAGAGUCGCCGAAGCUUCCAAAUGCAGGCUUCACCAUCUUUUCUCUGAC
RNAcentral lists this unclassified non-coding RNA (419 nucleotides) under Zea mays. Its description in RNAcentral is "misc RNA Zm00001eb074670". Lineage: Eukaryota; Viridiplantae; Streptophyta; Magnoliopsida; Poales; Poaceae. The record is from RNAcentral.